This 452-nucleotide ribosomal RNA is filed under the name Penicillium rubens. Its description in RNAcentral is "eukaryotic LSU rRNA". It matches the Rfam family "Eukaryotic large subunit ribosomal RNA", at positions 89 to 545 of the family's 3401-position model. The record is from RNAcentral. Lineage: Eukaryota; Fungi; Ascomycota; Eurotiomycetes; Eurotiales; Aspergillaceae.
GCGAGUGAAGCGGCAAGAGCUCAAAUUUGAAAGCUGGCUCCUUCGGGGUCCGCAUUGUAAUUUGUAGAGGAUGCUUCGGGAGCGGUCCCCAUCUAAGUGCCCUGGAACGGGACGUCAUAGAGGGUGAGAAUCCCGUAUGGGAUGGGGUGUCCGCGCCCGUGUGAAGCUCCUUCGACGAGUCGAGUUGUUUGGGAAUGCAGCUCUAAAUGGGUGGUAAAUUUCAUCUAAAGCUAAAUAUUGGCCGGAGACCGAUAGCGCACAAGUAGAGUGAUCGAAAGAUGAAAAGCACUUUGAAAAGAGAGUUAAAAAGCACGUGAAAUUGUUGAAAGGGAAGCGCUUGCGACCAGACUCGCUCGCGGGGUUCAGCCGGCAUUCGUGCCGGUGUACUUCCCCGCGGGCGGGCCAGCGUCGGUUUGGGCGGUCGGUCAAAGGCCCUCGGAAGGUAACGCCCC